CCUACGGGUGGCAGCAGUGGGGAAUAUUGGACAAUGGGGGGAACCCUGAUCCAGCGACGCCGCGUGAGUGAAGAAGUAUUUCGGUAUGUAAAGCUCUAUCAGCAGGGAAGAAAGAAAUGACGGUACCUGACUAAGAAGCCUCGGCUAACUACGUGCCAGCAGACGCGGUAAUACGUAGGGGGCAAGCGUUAUCCGGAUUUAAUGGGUGUAAAGGGAGCGUAGACGGCGAUGCAAGUCUGAAGUGAAAGGCGGGGGCUCAACCGCCGGACUGCGUUGGAAACUGUAUGGCUGGAGUGCAGGAGAGGUAAGUGGAAUUCCUAGUGUAGCGGUGAAAUGCGUAGAUAUUAGGAGGAACACCAGUGGCGAAGGCAGCUUACUGGACUGUAACUGACGUUGAGGCUCGAAAGUGUGGGGAGCAAACAGGAUUAGAUACCCCUGUAGUC
This 443-nucleotide ribosomal RNA is filed under the name uncultured bacterium. RNAcentral describes it as "partial 16S ribosomal RNA". It matches the Rfam family "Bacterial small subunit ribosomal RNA", at positions 338 to 795 of the family's 1533-position model. The record is from RNAcentral.